RNAcentral lists this ribosomal RNA (497 nucleotides) under uncultured bacterium. RNAcentral's name for it is "partial 16S ribosomal RNA". It matches the Rfam family "Bacterial small subunit ribosomal RNA", at positions 28 to 507 of the family's 1533-position model. The record is from RNAcentral.
GAUGAACGCUGGCGGCGUGCCUAAUACAUGCAAGUCGAGCGAACAGAUGAGGAGCUUGCUCCUCUGACGUUAGCGGCGGACGGGUGAGUAACAUGUGGAUAACCUACUUAUAAGACUGGGAUAACUUCGGGAAACCGGAGCUAAUACCGGAUAAUAUAUUGAACCGCAUGGUUCAAUAGUGAAAGACGGUUUUGCUGUCACUUAUAGAUGGAUCCGCGCCGCAUUAGCUAGUUGGUAAGGUAACGGCUUACCAAGGCAACGAUGCGUAGCCGACCUGAGAGGGUGAUCGGCCACACUGGAACUGAGACACGGUCCAGACUCCUACGGGAGGCAGCAGUAGGGAAUCUUCCGCAAUGGGCGAAAGCUUGACGGAGCAACGCCGCGUGAGUGAUGAAGGUCUUCGGAUCGUAAAACUCUGUUAUUAGGGAAGAACAAAUGUGUAAGUAACUAUGCACGUCUUGACGGUACCUAAUCAGAAAGCCACGGCUAACUACGUG